This 253-nucleotide ribosomal RNA is filed under the name uncultured bacterium. RNAcentral's name for it is "partial 16S ribosomal RNA". It matches the Rfam family "Bacterial small subunit ribosomal RNA", at positions 524 to 776 of the family's 1533-position model. The record is from RNAcentral.
UACGAAGGGGGCUAGCGUUGCUCGGAAUCACUGGGCGUAAAGGGCGCGUAGGCGGCCAUUCAAGUCAGAGGUGAAAGCCCAAGGCUCAACCUUGGAAUUGCCUUUGAUACUGUUUGGCUUGAGACCGGAAGAGGUAAGUGGAACUGCGAGUGUAGAGGUGAAAUUCGUAGAUAUUCGCAAGAACACCAGUGGCGAAGGCGGCUCACUGGCCCAUAACUGGCGCUGAGGCACGAAAGCGUGGGGAGCAAACAGG